CGCAAGAAAGACUCCGCCCGGACUCCUACGGGAGCCGGGCUCCAUCACAAACUCCAACUGCGGGAAGACUCCGCUCGGACUCCUAUGGGAGCCGGGCUCCGUCACCAACUCCAACUGCGGGAAGACUCCGCUCGGACUCCUACGGGAGUCGGGCUCCGUCCACGGCUUCAACCGCAAGAAAGACUCCGCCCAGACUCCUACAGAAGCCGGGCUCCGUCACCAACUCCAACUGCGGGAAGAUUUCGCCCAGACUCCUAUGAGAGCCGGGCUCCAUCACCAACUCCAACUGUGGGAAGACUCCGCCCGGACUCCUACGGUAGCCUGGCUCCGUCCACGGC
RNAcentral lists this long non-coding RNA (338 nucleotides) under Elaeis guineensis (African oil palm). RNAcentral's name for it is "long non-coding RNA (EGUI_LNC079102)". Lineage: Eukaryota; Viridiplantae; Streptophyta; Magnoliopsida; Arecales; Arecaceae. The record is from RNAcentral.